CAAUAGCGUAUAUUUAAGUUGUUGCAGUUAAAAAGCUCGUAGUCGGAUUUUGGCUGAGAACGAUCGGUCCGCCGUUAGGUGUGCACUGAUUGGUCUCAGCUUCCUGGUGAGGAGGUGUGCUUCACGGCCACUUAGUCACCGUGGUUACUUUGAAAAAAUUAGAGUGUUCAAAGCGGGCUUACGCUUGAAUAUAUUAGCAUGGAAUAACACCAUAGGACUCCUGUCCUAUUUCGUUGGUCUCGGGACGGGAGUAAUGAUUAAGAGGAACAGUUGGGGGCAUUCGUAUUUCAUUGUCAGAGGUGAAAUUCUUGGAUUUAUGAAAGACGAGCUUCUGCGAAAGCAUUUGCCAAGGAUGUUUUCAUUGA
This 365-nucleotide ribosomal RNA is filed under the name uncultured eukaryote. Its description in RNAcentral is "partial 18S ribosomal RNA". It matches the Rfam family "Eukaryotic small subunit ribosomal RNA", at positions 592 to 976 of the family's 1831-position model. The record is from RNAcentral.